This 1304-nucleotide ribosomal RNA is filed under the name metagenome. RNAcentral's name for it is "bacterial LSU rRNA". It matches the Rfam family "Bacterial large subunit ribosomal RNA", at positions 1638 to 2925 of the family's 2925-position model. The record is from RNAcentral.
CCUUCCGUACCGCAAACCGACUCAGGUGGGCGGGGUGAAGAUCCCAAGGCGCGUGAGAGAACCCUGGCUAAGGAACUCGCAAAAUGACACCGUAACUUCGGGAGAAGGUGUGCCGGCUUGCGUGAAAGGCUUGCGCCUGGAGCGUCGGCUGGUCGCAGAGAAAUGGGGGUUGUGACUGUUUACUAAAAACACAGGACUCUGCGAAGUCGCAAGACGACGUAUAGGGUCUGAUGCCUGCCCGGUGCUGGAAGGUUAAGGGGACGAGUCAGCGCAAGCGAAGCUCCGAACCGAAGCCCCAGUAAACGGCGGCCGUAACAGUAACGGUCCUAAGGUAGCGAAAUUCCUUGUCGGGUAAGUUCCGACCUGCACGAAUGGCAUAACAACAUCCCCGCUGUCUCGGCCAGGGACUCAGCGAAAUUGUAUCGGGGGUGAAGAUACCCUCUACCCGCGGCAAGACGGAAAGACCCCAUGAACCUUUACUGCAACUUGGCAGUGGUUUUCGGGAUGUUCUGCGUAGGAUAGGUGGGAGGCUUUGAGGCCGGGCUUCUGGGUUCGGCGGAGCCAGCGUUGAAAUACCACCCUGGACUUUCUGGAAACCUAACCUGGACCCAUGACCUGGGUCGGGGACACUGCCUGGUGGGCAGUUUUGACUGGGGCGGUCGCCUCCUAAAAAGUAACGGAGGCGUGCGAAGGUUCCCUCAGCGUGAUUGGAAACCACGCGUAGAGUGCAAACGCACAAGGGAGCUUAACUGCGAGACCGACAGGUCGAGCAGGUGCGAAAGCAGGCGUUAGUGAUCCGGUGGUUCUGUAUGGAAGGGCCAUCGCUCAUCGGAUAAAAGGUACUCUGGGGAUAACAGGCUGAUCGCGCCUGAGAGUUCACAUCGGCGGCGCGGUUUGGCACCUCGAUGUCGGCCCAUCGCAUCCUGGGGCUGGAGCAGGUCCCAAGGGUUCGGCUGUUCGCCGAUUAAAGCGGUACGCGAGCUGGGUUUAAAACGUCGUGAGACAGUUUGGUCCCUAUCUGCCGUGGACGUAGGAUGCUUGAGAGGAGCUAACCAUAGUACGAGAGGACCUGGUUGGACGUGCCUCUAGUGCGCCGGUUGUCCUGCCAAGGGCAUAGCCGGGUAGCCAUGCACGGAACGGAUAACCGCUGAAAGCAUCUAAGCGGGAAGCCGGCCUCAAGACAAGGCAUCCCGAGUCGCAAGACUCCUCAAGACCCCUCGUAGACCACGAGGUUGAUCGGCUGGGUGUGGAAGCACGGCAACGUGUGGAGCUAACCAGUACGAAUCGGUCGUGCGGCUUGACCG